GGAGGAUCCAAGCGUUAUCCGGAAUCAUUGGGUUUAAAGGGUCCGUAGGCGGGUCUAUAAGUCAGUGGUGAAAUCCGGCAGCUCAACUGUCGAACUGCCAUUGAUACUGUAGGUCUUGAAUUUUUGUGAAGUAGCUAGAAUAUGUAGUGUAGCGGUGAAAUGCUUAGAUAUUACAUGGAAUACCGAUUGCGAAGGCAGGUUACUAACAAAACAUUGACGCUGAGGGACGAAAGCGUGGGUAGCGAAC
RNAcentral lists this ribosomal RNA (247 nucleotides) under uncultured Flavobacterium sp. RNAcentral describes it as "partial 16S ribosomal RNA". It matches the Rfam family "Bacterial small subunit ribosomal RNA", at positions 527 to 773 of the family's 1533-position model. The record is from RNAcentral. Lineage: Bacteria; Pseudomonadati; Bacteroidota; Flavobacteriia; Flavobacteriales; Flavobacteriaceae.